RNAcentral lists this ribosomal RNA (432 nucleotides) under uncultured bacterium. RNAcentral describes it as "bacterial SSU rRNA". It matches the Rfam family "Bacterial small subunit ribosomal RNA", at positions 28 to 507 of the family's 1533-position model. The record is from RNAcentral.
GNUGAACGCUGGCGGUAUGGAUAAGGCAUGCAAGUCGAACGGGUUUAGACCCGUGGCAGACGAGGUAGUAUAAGGUAGGAACGUACCCGGAAGUCGUGCAUAACCAGUCGAAAGAUUGGACAACUCACGAUGGUCUCGAAAGAGUAAAGGUUUACCGCUUCCGGAGCGGCCUGCUGUGUAUCAGCUAGUUGGUAGUGUAAUGGACUACCAAGGCUAUGACGCAUAGGGGAGCUGAGAGGCUGACCCCCACCGAUUGGACUGAGACACGGCCAAUACCCCUACGGGGGGCUGCAGCCGAGAAUAUUCGACAAUGGGCGAAAGCCUGAUCGAGCGAUACCGCGUGGUGGAUGAAGCGCUUCGGCGUGUAAACAUCUUUUAUGGAGGAGGAAGUAAUUGACGUUACUCCAUGAAUAAGGGGCUCCUAACUCUGUG